GCAGUCGAGCGAGCAGAACAGCAGAUUUACUUCGGUAAUGACGCUGGGGACGCGAGCGGCGGAUGGGUGAGUAACACGUGGGGAACCUGCCCCAUAGCCUGGGAUACCACUUGGAAACAGGUGCUAAUACCGGAUAAGAAAGCAGAUCGCAUGAUCAGCUUAUAAAAGGCGGCGUAAGCUGUCGCUAUGGGAUGGCCCCGCGGUGCAUUAGCUAGUUGGUAAGGUAACGGCUUACCAAGGCAAUGAUGCAUAGCCGAGUUGAGAGACUGAUCGGCCACAUUGGGACUGAGACACGGCCCAAACUCCUACGGGAGGCAGCAGUAGGGAAUCUUCCACAAUGGACGCAAGUCUGAUGGAGCAACGCCGCGUGAGUGAAGAAGGUUUUCGGAUCGUAAAGCUCUGUUGUUGGUGAAGAAGGAUAGAGGUAGUAACUGGCCUUUAUUUGACGGUAAUCAACCAGAAAGUCACGGCUAACUACGUGCCAGCAGCCGCGGUAAUACGUAGGUGGCAAGCGUUGUCCGGAUUUAUUGGGCGUAAAGCGAGCGCAGGCGGAAGAAUAAGUCUGAUGUGAAAGCCCUCGGCUUAACCGAGGAACUGCAUCGGAAACUGUUUUUCUUGAGUGCAGAAGAGGAGAGUGGAAUUCCAUGUGU
Molecule: ribosomal RNA, 650 nt
Filed under: Lactobacillus helveticus
Lineage: Bacteria; Bacillati; Bacillota; Bacilli; Lactobacillales; Lactobacillaceae
Description: bacterial SSU rRNA
Rfam family: Bacterial small subunit ribosomal RNA
Source: RNAcentral